UAGAGUUUGAUCCUGGCUCAGGAUGAACGCUAGCGGCAGGCCUAACACAUGCAAGUCGAGGGGUAGAAGUAGCUUGCUACUUUGAGACCGGCGCACGGGUGCGUAACGCGUAUGCAAUCUACCUUAUACAAGGGGAUAGCCCGAAGAAAUUUGGAUUAAUACCCUAUAGUAUUAUCGACCGGCAUCGGUUGAUAAUUAAAAUUCCGAUGGUAUAAGAUGAGCAUGCGUCCUAUUAGCUGGUUGGUGUGUAACGGCACACCAAGGCGACGAUAGGUAGGGGUCCUGAGAGGGAGAUCCCCCACACUGGUACUGAGACACGGACCAGACUCCUACGGGAGGCAGCAGUGAGGAAUAUUGGACAAUGGGCGCAAGCCUGAUCCAGCCAUGCCGCGUGCAGGAAGACUGCCCUAUGGGUUGUAAACUGCUUUUAAACGGGAAGAAACCCUCCGACGUGUCGGAGUUUGACGGUACCGUAAGAAUAAGCAUCGGCUAACUCCGUGCCAGCAGCCGCGGUAAUACGGAGGAUGCGAGCGUUAUCCGGAAUCAUUGGGUUUAAAGGGUCCGUAGGCGGGUUAGUAAGUCAGUGGUGAAAUCCGGCAGCUUAACUGUCGAAUUGCCGUUGAUACUGCUAGUCUUGAAUUACUGUGAAGUGGUUAGAAUAUGUAGUGUAGCGGUGAAAUGCUUAGAUAUUACAUGGAAUACCGAUUGCGAAGGCAGAUCACUAACAGUAUAUUGACGCUGAUGGACGAAAGCGUGGGGAGCAAACAGAUUAGAUACCCUGGUAGUCCACGCCGUAAACGAUGGAUACUAGCUGUUUGGUCGUAAGACUGAGUGGCUAGCGAAAGUGAUAAGUAUCCC
Molecule: ribosomal RNA, 858 nt
Filed under: uncultured Flavobacterium sp.
Lineage: Bacteria; Pseudomonadati; Bacteroidota; Flavobacteriia; Flavobacteriales; Flavobacteriaceae
Description: bacterial SSU rRNA
Rfam family: Bacterial small subunit ribosomal RNA
Source: RNAcentral